UACAGAGGUCUCAAGCGUUGUUCGGAUUCAUUGGGCGUAAAGGGUGCGUAGGCGGCGCGGUAAGUCGGAUGUGAAAUCUCGGAGCUUAACUUCGAAACUGCAUUCGAUACUGCCGUGCUUGAGGACUGGAGAGGAGACUGGAAUUUACGGUGUAGCGGUGAAAUGCGUAGAUAUCGUAAGGAAGACCAGUGGCGAAGGCGGGUCUCUGGACAGUUCCUGACGCUGAGGAGCGAAAGCGUGGGGAGCGAACAGG
This 253-nucleotide ribosomal RNA is filed under the name uncultured bacterium. Its description in RNAcentral is "partial 16S ribosomal RNA". It matches the Rfam family "Bacterial small subunit ribosomal RNA", at positions 524 to 776 of the family's 1533-position model. The record is from RNAcentral.